Long non-coding RNA from Pteropus alecto (black flying fox), 2118 nucleotides. RefSeq lists it as uncharacterized. Lineage: Eukaryota; Metazoa; Chordata; Mammalia; Chiroptera; Pteropodidae. The record is from RefSeq and is a predicted model, not a curated record. The transcript is spliced from 2 exons.
AAUUAUGCAAAUUAUGUAACUAGUUCUGGUGUGUACCUGUUUUGUUUAAUGAUUCUUUUCCUUAUGACAUGGAUUUGGAGAGUAAAACAUGUACCUACCUUACCACGGCACCCCCAACGAUGGCACAGAGAAAGUGCUCAAAAAAUAUUUGAAGACGGCAAGGAGCAAGAGAGAAGCUGAAUUAGCCGCCCAGCUAGCCGUGGCCGAGAACAGAAGGGCAGUACAACCCCAGCCGACCCGUGUAAGCUGCUCUAUUCAAUAGCCUUCCUCCCCGAGGCUGCUGGAACAUUCUUUCCAACUCCUCAUGCGUGUCAAGGGGCAAGUGUACCCUGUGUGGUCUGUGUGUCUUUCCCGUGGCCCUCCAUAUGCCAUGUCAGCUGGACUGAAUGGUAAUCCCCAGAUGUGAGAAGACAAGGCUGGGGAGAGAGUCUUUAGACCCAGUUUCUGAGCUCUACUCACUCAAGGCAGGCCUUCGCUUUGCAUUAAUUCUGGCCAAUUUAGCUUGUGCUCCUGUCUGAAAAUCAUCUAGGUUGGAAUUCUUAUAGCUGGAUGAGCUGAGGACAGCAGGCCUUAGCUAGUAUGACGGGCACUAGAAAAAGGCUGUUUAUGGUCUUCGCGUGGUUCAUUUGGGGGUUUCAAGUAGUUCUCCAGCCACACGUUUAUCGGCGUUAUGAAAUCGCUCAUUGUGAGGUCCGCAGUAGCUUUGAUUCUCUGGAUGACUGUCAUUGAUGAGUCUCUUGCUGUCAGAUGUCCCCAGCAUCCAGCCCAGCAAAUAUGCCAGCCUGGAGCAGGGAUGGGCGUGAGAGGGGAUUCAUUUCUGCCUGGCCAUUUCGUUACUGAAAAAGUUAGUAUUAGGACGACAUCUGCCUUCCUAUGCCAACUUGUGGCUGGGGGACCCAGACUUCAGGGGAGGAGCCCCGGCAGAAGACUCUUCUGUGUGCUAAGGGUCCCAAAAAUAAAACUCUAGAGGAGAAAAGAUUUCAGUGCCUGGCAUGCAGAAGAAACUGCAGUAUUUACGGAGUGCACAUAAUGUAUCGCAGUCCAUUUGGAUAAAAACCUCUAUGGAUAAAGACAAAUAAUAUUCUCUAUUUCUCUUUUAAAAAAAUAAGUCAAAACAAACACAAGGAGAAAUGAAAUCUCAAGCACCCACACCAGUCUUUCUCCGUAUGUUUCAGCUGCCCGAAGUGUUCAUUUCAAAGCUUUCUGGGGACCUGUUGAGUGUCAGGUCCUAGGAGAGAGCUGAGUGAGGGGAGAGGGGCCUGAGACAAGAAUCUGAGUACAAGUUGUUGAUUUAGGAAGAAGUCCCAGGAAGCUCCAGUAGGGGAAUGGAGGAGUGAGACAGGGAAGGGAAAGGAAACGGGGUUAUCGAUGACAGUUUGUCACCGUGGACAGCUGGAGCUCAACCCCACUGGAGACCUCUGGGAAACUGACCAAUGCAGCUCAGAGCUGUCUCACUCCAGGGCCUGGAAGAUGGGGAGAUUUGUCCACCAACUCCCAUCCAUCACUGGCUGGGAGCUGCUCUCGCAGCAUUCACUUGCGGCAUUCCAGUCCAGCUCUGUACACGAGCACGGCUUGAGGACCACGGUUUUCCACUACCCUUAGAACAAGAUCCAGACUCCUUGCCACAGCCCACUGUGCCUGCACGAUCUGGCCCUGUCUUCCUCUUCCUCCUAUUCGUUCUGCUCCAGGCUUACCUGGCUCCUCUUGGCUCUUCCAGCUUCAGACCCUUUGCACUUGCUGUUCCCACUGCCUGCAAAGCUCUUUCCCCAACUCGAUUCAUGCCUCCUGCCAUCUCCCCUUUCAUGCCUCUUGCUUUAAAUGACCCCAUAUCAGAGGUCUUGUCUGGCCGCCACCUCAGCCAUGAUUCCUUUUCAGAGAAUCUCAUUGUGCGAUGGCAUAUUUGAUUACUUGUCGUCUCUCUUCUCCACUAGAAUGUGAGCCUGAGUGGACAGAACCCAUGUCUGUUUCCAGGCACUGCCACCUACCCAUUCUUAAUACCUGUGAGGUAUUUCCAGAAUGAAUCAGCCGCGUUCCUCUGACAUGACCUAAAUGACCUCCCUGUCGCAUGUCCUCUAUAAACACACAGGUUCUAGUUCUAAUAAAGUGGAUGUGAACAAA